GGCCUGGUAGCUUAAUGGUAAAAGCAAGGGUUGGGUAGGAGCCUGUUGACGAGGAAGGCUCCCGCACAAGUCGAUCCGGGUUCGAGUCCCGGCUGGGUCU
Xylariomycetidae sp. FL2044 is the source of this 100-nucleotide non-coding RNA. The record is from the annotation of a GenBank genome assembly. NCBI's taxonomy places the organism in Eukaryota, Fungi, Ascomycota, Sordariomycetes.